UUACCAUGAUGAUAGGGGCCUUAAUCAUAUAGCCUGUUCCAGGCUCUCGGGCAGUGGGGACGAUUGGAAAAGCGGGUGAGGGACAAGCGGGGUCUGUUAGAGAAUAAGACUCAGACCCCGCCGGUCGCCUGCCCGCUUUUUCGAUCGUCCCUACAGACCGAGAGCCUAGAACAGGCUAUUAAUCAUAUUAACACAGAAUUUAAAUAGUCCUGUAUUUGCUCUGUGAUAUGGUUUGGUAAAUACAAUUAAUAUCGUCCUUAUUAACAUGUCAAGUGCUUUGUUUGUAGCCCAAUCCAUGAACACCACCUUCUCCCCCCUGGGGAGAAAGUACUUGUAGUUGUGAGUGAGAAGGAGACAAGCUCUAUUAUUGCCUACACACUGAGCACUAAAGAAUAUAACGAGUGCUUGCUUGACAUUCAGCGGACCCUGUCAGAAAUCAUGAAUGGAGCGACCAGGGAAUUUCUACAAAGUAAAAGUGAUUUCGGAAAGUCUGUUGACGUAUCUCUGAAGGGACAGCCGCAGGCGGACAUUCCGCAUUGUUCAGACAAGAUUAUCAGAGUUGAUUCCAGUACAGAGGCGAAUGAAGGUGAAUAAAUAGGAGUCUCAUCCUUACAGGCUAACAACAGAAUGUUACAAAUGAAAACCUGUUUUGUGUAUUUUCUGAUUGCUUUUAUAUCUUAGAGCGGUUUUUCAAUUGUGUGUCGAAAGUAAUCAGGCAAUUACUUUGGUUUUGGUUUUGGUUUUGGUUUUACCACGGUUUGAGAUUGGCUGAGUAGCCUAAUUGGUGAGUAAUUGGAUUUGGUUUUUACGACACUCAAUUGAAAUCCGCUCUAUUCCGACUUUUCGUUAUAAGUGACUGAUCAUUGCCCAAUUUUAGUUCAUAUAACAGGUUUUCAAACUUGUAACAACCUAUAAACGUAACUUUGAGCUGUGAGCUGAAGUAAAUUUUCAACUAAGACAAUGUAACCUCGAAAUGGAUCCAUGCCUGUAAUAUAUAUCUGUGACAAAGCUUCCAGCAUUCCAUAUCCCCCUCCCUCUUC
Molecule: long non-coding RNA, 1040 nt
Organism: Orbicella faveolata
Lineage: Eukaryota; Metazoa; Cnidaria; Anthozoa; Scleractinia; Merulinidae
Source: RefSeq, a predicted model, not a curated record